AUGCAUAUUACUCAUGUGAUGGCUAUCUAUAAUAAUAAACUUGUAGUGCACAUCAUUAGAAAUUUUAAGACAGUCAGUGUUCCUUGCCCCGCGCACCUGAGAGGCUGCUCUCCGACUCCCGCGCUGGACCCUCUUGCGCCACUGAACCCCCUGAUCCGGGGGCCUCGGAUCCCAGGGCUCAGGAGGACUGAACCAGGACUUACCCGAAGUUGCCGCGGGGCCUUCCGAUCCCCUAGGCCAUCGCCCAAGUCUGGCCAGGCUGAUGGGACCAGCGAGGAGUCUCUGCACCUUGACAUUCAGAAACUGAAGGAGAAGAGGGACAUGCUGGAUGAGGAGAUCUCCCAGUUCAUAUCUGAAGGCUACAGUGUGGAUGAACUGGAGGACCACAUUACCCAGCUUCACGAGUACAAUGACAUCAAGGAUGUGGGGCAGAUGCUGAUGGGCAAACUAGCUGUGAUCCGAGGUGUCACCACCAAAGAGUUGUAUCCAGAGUUUGGGCUGGACAUGAAUGACUGAGCAGGCUCAUCGCCCCUUGUCCACAGUCCCCAGGGACAGAAGGGUGUGGACAUGAUAAACGCUGAGAGCCCAACCAGCACACCUACAGAGUUUCCAGCAAGAAAAUGCCAGAAGCCCUUUUCUAGAGAGCCCAAGCUGAAUCAGGAGGAGCCUAGAGAAGAGGCGGGCAGGGAGGAAGGGGCGUUCCCAGCUCCAAGGUUCCUGAAAUGUCGCAGUGAUACUUGUAUAGGGGUACAUGUACUUUAUUUGUCAAUAAACAUAUCUGUACACU
Macaca mulatta (Rhesus monkey) is the source of this 787-nucleotide non-coding RNA. The record is from RefSeq and is a predicted model, not a curated record. Lineage: Eukaryota; Metazoa; Chordata; Mammalia; Primates; Cercopithecidae.